AUUAUUUUUGAGUGUUUACAAUCGUAUAAAUAAAGGCUUAAGAAACGAACGUAAAGCAGAGCCCACCGAAUGAAAAAAAAUAGUUAAAAAAACGUUUUUUGGGGAAUACACCGGGUAAGCAGUAAUAUUUUCUUAACUUAUUGGAAGAAAGAAGUUUACAGAACCAAGUACAGUAUGUAAUAACUACUGGAUGCUUCCUCCAAACGCAAAACGCAAAAAUCCUCUUGAGGUCGAAAAUCCAGUUAAUCCAGUACCAUUUCGUCAUCCAUGGGCUCUCCUGCGUUCAGUGGGGCAGGUGUUAGUGUUCACCAGUAUAAUGUUUCAGUGGCACACAGAACACUGCCAGACACCCGCGUGUGGCAACACAUUUUGCAUCCUCAUUUCCUGUUUCCCUGUGGGGCAAUACAUUUCUCGGCAAUAUUAAAGCUGAU
This 431-nucleotide long non-coding RNA is filed under the name Lepisosteus oculatus (spotted gar). Its description in RNAcentral is "lncRNA (ENSLOCG00000021889.1)". The record is from RNAcentral. Lineage: Eukaryota; Metazoa; Chordata; Actinopteri; Semionotiformes; Lepisosteidae.